CCAGUAUGAGGCGGGCGGACCUGGUAGGCAGCAGCAGAAGGAAGGCCUCACCCAUUGCCCCUGCCCUUCUGCCUGGCUGGUGCCCAGAGGGAAGACAGGAAAAUGGGGCCUAGAGCCUGCCUUUCUUUCUGAGCCCUGAGUAGGCUCAUCCUGGCUCUGGAGCCCAAUGGAGCCAGAUGGCUGCACUCAGGUGGAAGUCAGAGAUGGCCAACAGCAACCCCCCAGCAUGCUCACAGCAAAGGAAAGCAGGGCCUGCCUAAUGAAGAGGUUUGCAGCCCCCUUGUUCCCAGCAUGGCUGGCUGGUCUGAAGGCUGAAGUGUCAGUUUUGUGUUUGGAAAUAGGAGCUUCCCUCAACCUUGGCUUUCUGGCCUCUCUUUAGAGCCUGGGGAUCGAGUGGCCCCCUUUCUAGCUGUGAGCCUGAGGUUGAGGAUUCCUGGGAGUGUAAGGGCCUGGGCUGAGUUUGGGACCGGCUCCUGAAAGCCUUUGAAAAGAUUUUACACUCCCCAAAAUGAAACAAUGAAGACAGAAGGUGAAAUCAAGGCGGUGUCUGUGCUUUUAAGCACAUUUCUAAGAUGGUUGGAGGGUCCCGGGGCAAUUAUUUCCACUUGCUCCCAUUGCUGCCUCUCUGCAGAGCCUGCAGGUCAGAGGUGCUCUCUCGUCAGUGGGUUCUGCUUUGGUUCAGAUGAGCUUCUCCAGGAGAAGCAUGCUUUUCUCUUGCUGUGUCUGGUCUUCCUUCCAAGUGCUCAGGUCUGUCUGGUCUUAUGACUGUGGAUUUGUGACUGCUUAGGGGUAGGUGACUUCAGCUUCCCAGGUGGCCUCUCUCUGGAUCUGCUUCCUCCCUUCUUUGUCUCUCCAGGCCCCCUUCCAAUCAGCCUCCUCUCCUUCCUUCACGGAUGCCCCAGGAAUGCACACCAAAAGCUUGGGGAUACCUUAUUUCAUAGAUAUGUCUAUAUGCAGUCAAUCCUAAUUAUUUGCAAAUUCUGCAUUUGUGAGUUGGCCUGCUUGCUGAAGUUUAUUUGUAACCCCCAAAUCAAUACUAGCAGUAUUUUCAUGGUCAUUUGCAAAUAUGCACAGAGAAGCAAAAAAUUUGAGUUGCCCAACUUGUAUGCUCCCAGCUGAGGUUGAACAAGGAGAAAUCUGCCUUCUUAUUUCAACUCUCAUACUGCAGACAAGUGUCCUUUUCACAAUCUGUUUAAUGCCAUGCUUCUCACAUUUUUAUGCUUUUUUGGGGGAGAUAUUGUUUAAAAUGUUACCAUGUCUAGUGUUUUUAAGUGCAAAAAGGCUAUGACUUCCCUUAGGGAGAAAAUGCACGUGAUAAAUAAGCUUUGUUCAGGCAUUGGUUAUACUACUGUUGGCUAUGAGUUCAAUGUUAAUGAAUCAACAGUACAUAUUCAAUAAGAUGUCCUUAAGUAGAAGUACACAUAAAACAAGGUUACAUAUUGAUCAGCUGAUGAAAAUGUGACACUCGUAGGAACCUAACUCUGUGUUUCCCCUAAGAGCAAUGGGUCAGUAUUUGCUAAUUCAGACUUCCUGGCAUGCUUAUAGAACAUAACUACCACGAAUAACAAAAACUAUCUGUACCUAUGAAUCUAUAACUAUUUAUAUAUCUGGAAAGAUUUUUUCUUAUUACAAAACUAAGUACGUAUUCAUUGUAGAAAAAGUGAAAACACUCUUUUAAGUUAACCUCAAGUCUCACUUACAUGAAAUGCCUCCAGACCAUUUUUGUGCUUACAGGUCAGUUGUAAUGUAUAUGUUGUUUGAUAACUUCUUUUUCAUAAAAGUUGUCAUGAACACCUCUCUUUGUCAAUAGAUAGCUUUCUAUAGCAUUAUUUUUA
Molecule: non-coding RNA, 1835 nt
Organism: Miniopterus natalensis
Lineage: Eukaryota; Metazoa; Chordata; Mammalia; Chiroptera; Miniopteridae
Source: RefSeq, a predicted model, not a curated record